Molecule: ribosomal RNA, 468 nt
Filed under: uncultured bacterium
Lineage: Bacteria
Description: partial 16S ribosomal RNA
Rfam family: Bacterial small subunit ribosomal RNA
Source: RNAcentral
GACGAACGCUGGCGGCGUGCUUAACACAUGCAAGUCGAACGGAAAGGCCCUGCUUUUGUGGGGUGCUCGAGUGGCGAACGGGUGAGUAACACGUGAGUAACCUGCCCUUGACUUUGGGAUAACUUCAGGAAACUGGGGCUAAUACCGGAUAGGAGCUCCUGCUGCAUGGUGGGGGGUGGAAAGUUUCGGCGGUUGGGGAUGGACUCGCGGCUUAUCAGCUUGUUGGUGGGGUAGUGGCUUACCAAGGCUUUGACGGGUAGCCGGCCUGAGAGGGUGACCGGCCACAUUGGGACUGAGAUACGGCCCAGACUCCUACGGGAGGCAGCAGUGGGGAAUAUUGCACAGUGGGCGGAAGCCUGAUGCAGCAACGCCGCGUGCGGGAUGACGGCCUUCGGGUUGUAAACCGCUUUCGCCUGUGACGAAGCGUGAGUGACGGUAAUGGGUAAAGAAGCACCGGCUAACUACGUG